GCCGGGCGUGGUGGCUCACGCCUGUAAUCCCAGCAUUUUGGGAGGCUGAGGCAGGUGGAUCACCUGAGGUCAGGAGUUCGAGACCAGCCUGACCAACAUGGUGAAACCCCGUCUCUA
Molecule: unclassified non-coding RNA, 117 nt
Organism: Pongo abelii (Sumatran orangutan)
Lineage: Eukaryota; Metazoa; Chordata; Mammalia; Primates; Hominidae
Rfam family: Metazoan signal recognition particle RNA
About the family: The signal recognition particle (SRP) is a universally conserved ribonucleoprotein. It is involved in the co-translational targeting of proteins to membranes. The eukaryotic SRP consists of a 300-nucleotide 7S RNA and six proteins: SRPs 72, 68, 54, 19, 14, and 9.
Source: Ensembl